GGAUCUAGCUCAGUGGUAGAGUACCUAUCUAGCAUUCAUGAAGCCCUGGGUUCAAUCCCCAAUAAUGCA
This 69-nucleotide transfer RNA is filed under the name Marmota monax (woodchuck). RNAcentral's name for it is "tRNA.Ala". The record is from RNAcentral. Lineage: Eukaryota; Metazoa; Chordata; Mammalia; Rodentia; Sciuridae.